RNAcentral lists this ribosomal RNA (1397 nucleotides) under uncultured bacterium. RNAcentral's name for it is "bacterial SSU rRNA". It matches the Rfam family "Bacterial small subunit ribosomal RNA". The record is from RNAcentral.
GAUGAACGCUGGCGGCGUGCCUUAGGCAUGCAAGUCGAACGGUCCCGCAUUUUGCGGGAUAGUGGCAGACGGGUGAGUAACGCGUAGGAAUCUACCCUUUGGCGGGGAAUAGCUUGCUGAAAAGUAAGGUAAUACCGCAUAAUCCCUAUGGGGAAAAGGACAUAACUGUCCACCGAAGGAGGAGCCUGCGUCCUAUCAGCUUGUUGGUAAGGUAAUGGCUUACCAAGGCUUCAACGGGUAGCCGGUGUGAGAGCACGACCGGCCACAAUGUCACUGAAACACGGGGCAUACGUCUACGGACGGCAGCAACCGGGAAUAUUGCGCAAUGGGCGAAAGCCUGACGCAGCGACGCCGCGUGAAGGAUGACAGCCUUCGGGUUGUAAACUUCUUUUAUUCAGGAACAUAAUGAGGGUACUGGAUGAAUAAGCACCGGCAAACUACGUGCCAGCAGCAGCGGUAAAACGUAGGGUGCAAGCGUUAUCCGGAUUUACUGGGCGUAAAGAGUAUCGUAGGCGGUUGGAAAAGUCAUUCGUUAAAGCCCGAGGCUUAACUUCGGAAAGGCGGGUGAUACUUUCUGACUAGUGCACAGUCGGGGAUGUUGGAAUGUCUGGUGGAGGGGUGAAAUCCGUUGAGAUCAGAUAGAACACCGAGGGCGAAGGCAGAUAUCUAGGCUGUUGCAGACGCUGAUGAACGAAAGCUGGGGUAGCAAAAGGGAUUAGAGACCCCUGUAGUCCCAUGCCGUAAACGAUCUCUACUAGCUCUCCCGGAUUUAAUCUGGGGGGGCGUAAGCUAACGCGUUAAGUAGAGCGCCUGGGGAGUACGGCCGCAAGGCUAAAACUUAAAGGAAUUGACGGGAAGGCGCACAACCAGUGGAGCAUGUGGUUUAAUUCGAUACGAAGCGUAGGACCUUACCUGGGUUUGACAUCCCGCUGCAUCCCCGAUGAAAAUCGGGAGUUCUUUGAGAGUGCGGGACAGCUGCUGCAUGGUUGUCGUCAGCUCGUGUCGUGAGAUCUCUGCUUAAGUGCAGUAACGAGCGCAACCCUCAUCCUGAGUUAAAUGUUCUCAGGAGACUGCCUCAGUUAAACUGGGGAGGAAGGGGAGGAUGACGUCAAAUCAGCACGGCGCUUAUAUCCAGGGCGACACACAUCCUACAAUGGCUAGCACAAUGGGUUGCGAGGCGGUAACGCGGAGCUAAUCCCUUAAAACUAGCCUCAGUUCAGAUUGAGGGCUGCAACUCGCCCUCAUGAAGUUGGAAUUGGUAGUAAUCGCGGGUCAGCAGACCGCGGUGAAUACGUUCUCGCCUUUUGUACACACUGCCCGUCAAGCGAGGAGAGUUGGGGGUAUCCAAAGUUCCCGACGUUACGUCGGGGCCUAAGGUAAACUCAGCAAUCAGCACU